AGUGGUCAGAGAAGAUCCUGGGCAGAAACCUGAAUGGAUUGAAGGACAGAAGAGCCUGGGGAAGGAAGAUCCAGGGAAGUGUGACCCUCCAGAAGGCCUCUGAGGGCAAAUACACAGAGGUGGAACAUACUGGAAAUGCUCAGAGCAACCAGACCAAUCCCUUGGGGAAGAGCUGCAGAUAUGAGGGAAGACAGCAAGACCUGCAUGAUGUGUGUUUUCAGUUGCUGGGAAACAGAGAGACCCACUGGAGUCCCACAGGCUGGAUGGUUUUGUUUUUUCACCCAGGGUAAAAUCUUAACUAGUUGCUACUAUUUAUGUAUUAGGAGGUUUCCUGAAAAAAAUCAAAAUUUCUGAAUUUUUUUGAAAAAUCAGAAAACAUGGCCACCCAGCCCUGUAUUCCUACAUGGUGGCAGCAGUGGGAGCAGACCUGUUGCUGUGCCCUUGUGGAUCUGUGCUCUCUAGUUCGCCAUGGUCCCUGCCCCUCUGUAUUAUCUCCGGGAUGCAAUAGCCUGGUGUCACCUGCAGUUGGCCACCAUGCUUGAGCUGUUGUGUUUUGAAUAUGUGGCCCACUUCCCUCAUUCGUGUGAACUGCCUUGUCCACAGAGACAUACUCUUGUGAUUCUGACUCUAGAAUGUCUCCUUUAAAAAGUGUUUUAGGACAUAAAGAUAUAUACAUGCUCUAAUCCAUUACUACCCAAUUAGCUAUUGUUGUGGAACCCUGAGUCAUUUUUC
Molecule: long non-coding RNA, 732 nt
Filed under: Callithrix jacchus (white-tufted-ear marmoset)
Lineage: Eukaryota; Metazoa; Chordata; Mammalia; Primates; Cebidae
Description: lncRNA (ENSCJAG00000071647.1)
Source: RNAcentral